RNAcentral lists this ribosomal RNA (802 nucleotides) under Lodderomyces parapsilosis. RNAcentral describes it as "LSU rRNA". It matches the Rfam family "Eukaryotic large subunit ribosomal RNA", at positions 88 to 907 of the family's 3401-position model. The record is from RNAcentral. Lineage: Eukaryota; Fungi; Ascomycota; Pichiomycetes; Serinales; Debaryomycetaceae.
GGCGAGUGAAGCGGCAAAAGCUCAAAUUUGAAAUCUGGCACUUUCAGUGUCCGAGUUGUAAUUUGAAGAAGGUAUCUUUGGGUCUGGCUCUUGUCUAUGUUUCUUGGAACAGAACGUCACAGAGGGUGAGAAUCCCGUGCGAUGAGAUGUCCCAGACCUAUGUAAAGUUCCUUCGAAGAGUCGAGUUGUUUGGGAAUGCAGCUCUAAGUGGGUGGUAAAUUCCAUCUAAAGCUAAAUAUUGGCGAGAGACCGAUAGCGAACAAGUACAGUGAUGGAAAGAUGAAAAGAACUUUGAAAAGAGAGUGAAAAAGUACGUGAAAUUGUUGAAAGGGAAGGGCUUGAGAUCAGACUUGGUAUUUUGUAUGUUACUCUCUCGGGGGUGGCCUCUACAGUUUACCGGGCCAGCAUCAGUUUGAGCGGUAGGAUAAGUGCAAAGAAAUGUGGCACUGCUUCGGUAGUGUGUUAUAGUCUUUGUCGAUACUGCCAGCUUAGACUGAGGACUGCGGCUUCGGCCUAGGAUGUUGGCAUAAUGAUCUUAAGUCGCCCGUCUUGAAACACGGACCAAGGAGUCUAACGUCUAUGCGAGUGUUUGGGUGUAAAACCCGUACGCGUAAUGAAAGUGAACGUAGGUAGGACCUCCUUUAGGAGUGCACUAUCGACCGAUCCUGAUGUCUUCGGAUGGAUUUGAGUAAGAGCAUAGCUGUUGGGACCCGAAAGAUGGUGAACUAUGCCUGAAUAGGGUGAAGCCAGAGGAAACUCUGGUGGAGGCUCGUAGCGGUUCUGACGUGCAAAUCGAUCGUCG